This 451-nucleotide ribosomal RNA is filed under the name uncultured bacterium. RNAcentral's name for it is "bacterial SSU rRNA". It matches the Rfam family "Bacterial small subunit ribosomal RNA", at positions 354 to 796 of the family's 1533-position model. The record is from RNAcentral.
GUGGGGAAUUUUUCGCAAUGGGGGAAACCCUGACGAAGCAACGCCGCGUGGGGGAUGAAGGCCUUCGGGUCGUAAACCCCUGUCGACCGGGACGAACGCAGUCCGACCUAACACGUCGGGCGGUUGACUGUACCGGUGGAGGAAGCCACGGCUAACUCUGUGCCAGCAGCCGCGGUAAUACAGAGGUGGCAAGCGUUGUUCGGAAUUACUGGGCGUAAAGGGCGCGUAGGCGGUUCGGUAAGUCCCGCGUGAAAUCCCCCGGCUCAACUGGGGAACUGCGCGGGAAACUGCCGGGCUUGAGUUCGGGAGAGGGAAGCGGAAUUCCGGGUGUAGCGGUGAAAUGCGCAGAUAUCCGGAGGAACACCGGUGGCGAAGGCGGCUUCCUGGACCGACACUGACGCUGAGGCGCGAAAGCUAGGGGAGCAAACGGGAUUAGAAACCCUAGUAGUCC